GCUACGGGAGGCUGCAGUGGGGAAUAUUGGACAAUGGGGGGAACCCUGAUCCAGCCAUGCCGCGUGUGUGAAGAAGGCCCUCGGGUUGUAAAGCACUUUCAGUGAGGAAGAACGCCUGGUGGUUAAUACCCAUCAGGAAAGACAUCACUCACAGAAGAAGCACCGGCUAACUCCGUGCCAGCAGCCGCGGUAAUACGGAGGGUGCGAGCGUUAAUCGGAAUUACUGGGCGUAAAGCGCGCGUAGGUGGCUUGAUAAGCCGGUUGUGAAAGCCCCGGGCUCAACCUGGGAACGGCAUCCGGAACUGUCAAGCUAGAGUGCAGGAGAGGAAGGUAGAAUUCCCGGUGUAGCGGUGAAAUGCGUAGAGAUCGGGAGGAAUACCAGUGGCGAAGGCGGCCUUCUGGACUGACACUGACACUGAGGUGCGAAAGCGUGGGUAGCAAACAGGAUUAGAUACCCGAGUAGUC
This 465-nucleotide ribosomal RNA is filed under the name Vreelandella stevensii. RNAcentral's name for it is "partial 16S ribosomal RNA". It matches the Rfam family "Bacterial small subunit ribosomal RNA", at positions 338 to 795 of the family's 1533-position model. The record is from RNAcentral. Lineage: Bacteria; Pseudomonadati; Pseudomonadota; Gammaproteobacteria; Oceanospirillales; Halomonadaceae.